UAUCAUUCUCUCAUUUUUGAAAAGAAUUCAUCCUCGAAUCCAAACCUUGUAAAACCAAAAGAAGCCAAGUAUGCACACACUUCACAUAUAACCAAACAUAGCAUUAUGCCAAGGUUGCACACACUUCACAUAUAACCAAACAUAGCAUUAUGCCAAGGUUGCACACACUUCACAUAUAACCAAACAUCCUUCAAGAUAUUGGAAGAAAAGUCAACAUUCAAAGUGCAAAGGAGUUGGCUACGAAAAACAUCAAGAAAUUCUCCUUAGUCCCAUUAACAACAUUACAAAGCAA
RNAcentral lists this long non-coding RNA (292 nucleotides) under Capsicum annuum. RNAcentral's name for it is "long non-coding RNA (CANN_LNC011277)". The record is from RNAcentral. Lineage: Eukaryota; Viridiplantae; Streptophyta; Magnoliopsida; Solanales; Solanaceae.